UUUGAAGAGAGAGUUCAAUAGUACGUGAAACUGCUCAGAGGUAAACAGGUGGGCCCUCGAAGUCCUGUGGCGGGAGGAUUCAGUCGAAUGGUGCGAUUGCCGAGGCAGCAGUGAGACGACGGUCCCACGAAGGGGCUAGCUGCAGCCGGGCGUGUCGUGCCGACCGACGCAUUUGUUUCCCGUCCGAAGGACGCCGCAACCGAUUGGGAGACGGCCUUAAGGACAGGUGACGGAAGGUUGCCGACGGUGUCUCUCGGGACGCUCUGUGGGUGUCAUAUAGCCUACCUGUCGCAUGGCACGUAGCCCGAUCGUGGUAUCACAAGGCCCUCAUGGGCUUGUUCCGUCUCCUCCGUAAAAAACGGACGCGAACGCACGGCGGCAGGGGCUCGACGAGGUUGCUGGCGCACGGAAUUCAAACCGUGGCCAUGCGACCACUCGCCCUUGGUGGCUGCCGGCAGAUUCGUUGGAGGUUGGCGGUUGGCGGCGAGUAGAUCGGUCACCCACCUGACCC
This 511-nucleotide ribosomal RNA is filed under the name Trogloneta sp. MYSM-022-ARG. Its description in RNAcentral is "eukaryotic LSU rRNA". Lineage: Eukaryota; Metazoa; Arthropoda; Arachnida; Araneae; Mysmenidae. The record is from RNAcentral.